CAGUCGCCGCGGUAAUACGUAGGGUGCGAGCGUUAAUCGGAAUUACUGGGCGUAAAGCGCGCGUAGGUGGUUUGUUAAGUUGGAUGUGAAAUCCCCGGGCUCAACCUGGGAACUGCAUCCAAAACUGGCAGGCUAGAGUAGGGCAGAGGGUGGUGGAAUUUCCUGUGUAGCGGUGAAAUGCGUAGAUAUAGGAAGGAACACCAGUGGCGAAGGCGACUACCUGGACUGAUACUGACACUGAGGUGCGAAAGCGUGGGGAGCAAACAGGAUUAGAUACCCGCGUAGUCCCUGUCUCUUAUAC
This 301-nucleotide ribosomal RNA is filed under the name uncultured bacterium. RNAcentral's name for it is "partial 16S ribosomal RNA". It matches the Rfam family "Bacterial small subunit ribosomal RNA", at positions 509 to 807 of the family's 1533-position model. The record is from RNAcentral.